This 754-nucleotide ribosomal RNA is filed under the name Galerina pseudobadipes. RNAcentral describes it as "eukaryotic LSU rRNA". It matches the Rfam family "Eukaryotic large subunit ribosomal RNA", at positions 78 to 817 of the family's 3401-position model. Lineage: Eukaryota; Fungi; Basidiomycota; Agaricomycetes; Agaricales; Galerinaceae. The record is from RNAcentral.
CCCUAGUAACUGCGAGUGAAGCGGGAAAAGCUCAAAUUUAAAAUCUGGUGGUCUUUGGNCAUCCGAGUUGUAAUCUAGAGAAGUGUUAUCCGCGCUGGACCGUGUACAAGUCUCCUGGAAUGGAGCGUCAUAGAGGGUGAGAAUCCCGUCUUUGACACGGACUGCCAGGGCUUUGUGAUGCGCUCUCAAAGAGUCGAGUUGUUUGGGAAUGCAGCUCAAAAUGGGUGGUAAAUUCCAUCUAAAGCUAAAUAUUGGCGAGAGACCGAUAGCGAACAAGUACCGUGAGGGAAAGAUGAAAAGAACUUUGGAAAGAGAGUUAAACAGUACGUGAAAUUGCUGAAAGGGAAACGCUUGAAGUCAGUCGCGUUGUCCGGGGAUCAACCUUGCUUUUGCUGGGCGUACUUCCCGGUUGACGGGUCAGCAUCAAUUUUGACCGUUGGAUAAAGUCUAGGGGAAUGUGGCAUCUUCGGAUGUGUUAUAGCCCUUGGUCGCAUACAACGGUUGGGAUUGAGGAACUCAGCACGCCGCAAGGCCGGGUAUUCGUACNACGUUCGUGCUUAGGAUGCUGGCAUAAUGGCUUUAAUCGACCCGUCUUGAAACACGGACCAAGGAGUCUAACAUGCCUGCGAGUGUUUGGGUGGAAAACCCGAGCGCGUAAUGAAAGUGAAAGUUGAGAUCCCUGUCGUGGGGAGCAUCGACGCCCGGACUUGACCUUUUGUGACGGAUCCGCGGUAGAGCAUGUAUGUUGGGACCC